Molecule: ribosomal RNA, 371 nt
Filed under: uncultured soil bacterium
Lineage: Bacteria
Description: bacterial SSU rRNA
Rfam family: Bacterial small subunit ribosomal RNA
Source: RNAcentral
AGAACGAACGCUGGCGGCAGGCUUAACACAUGCAAGUCGAGCGCCCCGCAAGGGGAGCGGCAGACGGGUGAGUAACGCGUGGGAAUCUACCCAUCUCUACGGAACAACAGUUGGAAACGACUGCUAAUACCGUAUACGCCCUUUGGGGGAAAGAUUUAUCGGAGAUGGAUGAGCCCGCGUUGGAUUAGCUAGUUGGUGGGGUAAAGGCCUACCAAGGCGACGAUCCAUAGCUGGUCUGAGAGGAUGAUCAGCCACAUUGGGACUGAGACACGGACCCAAACUCCUACGGGAGGCAGGACAGUGGGGAAUAGUUGGACAAGUGGGCGCAAGCCUGAUCCAGCCAUGCCGCGUGAGUGAUGAGGCGUUAGGGU